RNAcentral lists this transfer RNA (75 nucleotides) under Candidatus Nitrosopumilus sp. RNAcentral describes it as "Nitrosopumilus sp. tRNA-Arg". It matches the Rfam family "tRNA". Rfam says of the family: Transfer RNA (tRNA) molecules are approximately 80 nucleotides in length. Their secondary structure includes four short double-helical elements and three loops (D, anti-codon, and T loops). RNAcentral also lists the same sequence under 1 other name. Lineage: Archaea; Thermoproteati; Nitrososphaerota; Nitrososphaeria; Nitrosopumilales; Nitrosopumilaceae. The record is from RNAcentral.
GGGCCCGUAGCUCAGCUUGGAUAGAGUGUUGGACUUCUAAUCCAAUGGUCGUGGGAUCGAAGCCCUCCGGGCCCG